Molecule: long non-coding RNA, 1724 nt
Organism: Meriones unguiculatus (Mongolian gerbil)
Lineage: Eukaryota; Metazoa; Chordata; Mammalia; Rodentia; Muridae
Exons: 4
Source: RefSeq, a predicted model, not a curated record
UUAAACCGCUUUGUUUUACUUCCAUUCAAAACUGCUGUGUGGUGUAAAUUUGUAAAGCUAUUUUCAACUAAAACAGAUCUAAAAAGCCAAGUGAUAAAAGAGAGAAUACUUAUUGAUACUCCUGCCAUCUUCAGAAGAGUGCACAGAAACAAUAGUGAAUCAAGAAAUCAGAAUAUGAUACAGAUAUGCUUUAGGAUACACAGGACCCAGAUCUACAAGUAGAUACAUACUUGGAAAGUGUGGAAACCUGAUCAGCCCCUACUCCUACAUGCUACAGAGGAUGCAAGAGUGAGAGAAUACAUCUGUCAUGAAGGCCUCACAUAGCUCCCAGGACUUCGCACCUGUCUCAGGUCUUCCAUUUCUGAUCAGUAGCUCUCCUGGGUCCACCCUGCUGCAUCCUAGAAUGUCUAACAGGGUUAAAUGCUAACUAUGUUGGAUAAAAAAUUAAAAGUCUUGCCUACUCUGUGUCAAAGUACACUUGGCUGGCUUCCAUUACACCAUUAUGAAAUUGCCUGAGGAAUACAUUAUGUAAGCAUGCUCUGUGGCUGGACUAAAGAUUACAGAGUCCACAUACAAUUAAGAAGAAAACCCUCGCCGAAAUCAGCAAAUCUAGUCAUUUCAGGAAGAGAAACGGCAAGAGAAUUGAUUUGGAAAGUCACUGAAGACAAUGAAAUCCAACAGUGGGAAGCAGUGGAGUUUUGAAGUCACAAAAGCAGAACAAAAACACAAAUGACCCAUGGCAGCCAAACAAUACUCCACAACAUAAAAAUUAGGAGGAAAACAAGCAUUUCGUAUUGUCAUGUAAUGCAACCAAGAAUCGCAUGGGAAGAAGAAACCUCCACUGAAGACUUGCUGCCCCCAGACCAGUGCGUCUCGCUUGAUUUUUGAUAUGAGCGGAUCCAGGCAUAUGCAGAUGCAUCUUGAAUAUGUAAGAAAGCCAGCUUAGUGCAAGAACUAGGCACUGAGCCAAGAGCAAGCCAGUAAGAAGCUUGCCCUGACCAUUCCUCCGUGGUAUACUUGAGUUCUUGCCAUGAGUUCUGACAGUGAUGGAAUAUGACCUGGAAAUGCACUGAAAUCAACGUUUUCCUCCCCAUGCUGCUUUCAGUCAGUGUUAUGAAGGGCAUCACAGAGCAAACCAAGGCAAUAUCCAUCAGUCAUUUUCUACAGAACUCCAUGAUAUAGUAGACUUUUUUCAUCAUUUCCUAUUCUUCUUUUGUAUAUAAGAUAACUGACUUAGCAUCUUCUCUAUGGUUCAUUCCCAGGCCAAGCAAACAGAGGUAAAAACAAAACAAAAAGGAAAAAGCUUUGAAGGACAACAGUGAAAGCAUGUCACUUUGUUCUUCUGCAGCCUUGGACAGAUGGCUUUGCUGAAGUAGAAACCUUCUAUGGCAUGGCAGUAUCCCACUGCCUCUAGUUCCUACAGGUUCAGGAGAUGGAAUUAUAGACAUGGGAGAACAUCUGGAUUCAGGAGAAUGCACCAUUCCUAAUAUGAAACAGAAUGAAAAUAAACUCAACAUUAAAUAUUUAUUUUAAAGGUUUCUGUCUUCCAUUUUAAAAAUUUAAUUUGUCUGCCAUAUAAAAUCCUAGGUAUAAUUUCUCAACUGAUAAAACAAACUUGAGGCUUUUUGUUUUUUCAAUUUUUUCUCUAAGGUUUUUAUGAAACCAAGUGUUUUUAGGUAGCUCAGGCCAGCUUCAAACCCAACUAUGUAGCACAGGCUGGUUUC